Long non-coding RNA from Megalobrama amblycephala (Wuchang bream), 1682 nucleotides. RefSeq lists it as uncharacterized. The transcript is spliced from 5 exons. NCBI's taxonomy places the organism in Eukaryota, Metazoa, Chordata, Actinopteri, Cypriniformes, Xenocyprididae. The record is from RefSeq and is a predicted model, not a curated record.
AUCAUUCAAUGGGAUAAAAUAGCUUAUCUUCCCUGCAAACAAUACCAUGAAGAAUGUGGAUAUUUAACCAAGUCAAAAACAAAUAAGGUAAGCAGGUAUCCAUAUUCAUUUCAGUAUCAGCAGACAAAAAACGUUAUUAAAGGCGACAACUUUAAAAGGUAAAAAACGAUAUAAGUUAUAAAAAACGGUAAAAGUUAUUGUAAAUGAUUUAUUAUUGUCAUUAGCAUUAGCCUAUUAUUAUUUAAUUCACUUGCCCUCAUAUACUUUAAUCAAAAUAACUUCCUCUCCCAUUUGCAAUUUUCUCUGAUGACGUCUUCACUGGCGCGAGGGCGGACAACUUGUUACUCACAUGAGAUCACAGCAGUGAUCCAACGAUCCAAUCAAUUCCCGAUGAACAAAACCAAGUCCCACCCUACAUUUUUUCUUGUUCGAAAAGCCAUUUCACUUUGAUAUACAUCGCAAAAGGGAAAACAAUCUGUUUGACAAUCGCAAACAGCUUUAAUAAUAAAACCAUCUCUGAUUUAAUUUUUUCUAUUUAAAAGUCGUCGUGACAGGUAGCCCCGCCCACACCGAAACCUAACUGGACAGAAACACCGCUUCGUAAGUAAAAACGUAAUUAAACAUCGGGGAUAAAGAUUGUCUGUGGAUUCGGGAAGGGAUGAGUAAUCUCAAGUUACACAAAGACAGUCGUACAAAACAUCGUGCAGUGAAGAAUCACGACAGGCACGAAGGUACAGUAUAGGAAAAGUAUAGGAAAAGGAUGGAAAGAGAGACAGACAUCUUGAGCACUACAGGUCUCGACGAGGAACCGCUUCUCCCCUCUUUGCGAGGCGGAACGCGACGCCAUGGUGAUCGGAGACUCUAUCGUCCGUCACGUCCACGCUACCACAACCAAAGGGGUGAAUGACACCAAGUUGCAGCAGAUGGAGGUGCUGAAGCAGGACUUCAGGAGCCUGAUCGAGGCGGUACGAGCCACAUCACCCGCAACGAGGAUCAUCGUAUCCGGACAUCUUCCGAAGUGGACAUGAAAGGUUCAGUAGAUUAUUUGCUUUAAAUGAAUGGUUAAUGUCUUGGUGUAAUGAACAUAAGCUGCUCUUUAUAAAUAAUUGGAAUCUUUUCUGGGAGCGACCUAGGCUCUUCCGUGCUGAUGGCCUGCACCCCAACAGAAUCGAAGCUGAUCUUCUGUCGGAGAACAUAUCCAAGACGCUUCACACCAUAUGACUAGUGUCAGAAAUAAUUGCCUUGGAGCUGUGGCACAAACGGGUAGUGCAAGUUCAUGAUUUAUAAGAGCUGCAAUGCUCACAGGGACACGGGUUUGAAUCUGGCCUGCACCAUUUUCUGUCCCAUUCCUCAUAUCUGUCUGUGCACAUUCCCGAUUGUCCCUGUUUUAAAGGAAGAGUCUAUAAAUUAAGAAAAAUGGCUUUAAGCUCCAGUUAUUUUAGUACCUUCUUUGAAUAGGAUACACAUUAUAAGGCCUGAAACUGUUAAGAAGGAUUUAAAAAUAAAUAAAUAAAUAAAUGGUCAGUAAAAGUAGAUGCUUAACCUUUGGAAAGUUUCAGCAUUAACAACUGGCUAAAUAUUAUGUUUUUGGUCAUUUAAAUUACUAAUUUUUAUAACUAAAUAUAAAUAAUUACAAAUAAUUUUGGUAACACUUUAGUAUAGGUAACACAUAUAAACUAUUA